This 406-nucleotide ribosomal RNA is filed under the name uncultured bacterium. RNAcentral's name for it is "partial 16S ribosomal RNA". It matches the Rfam family "Bacterial small subunit ribosomal RNA", at positions 30 to 526 of the family's 1533-position model. The record is from RNAcentral.
AUUGAACGCUGGCGGCAGGCCUAACACAUGCAAGUCGAACGAGUGGCGGACGGGUGAGUAAUGUCUGGGAAACUGCCCGAUGGAGGGGGAUAACUACUGGAAACGGUCUCUAAUACCGCAUACCAUCGGAUGUGCCCAUAUGGGAUUAGCUUGUAGGUGGGGUAAAGGCUCACCUAGGCGACGAUCCCUAGCUGGUCUGAGAGGAUGACCAGCCACACUGGAACUGAGACACGGUCCAGACUCCUACGGGAGGCAGCAGUGGGGAAUAUUGCACAAUGGGCGCAAGCCUGAUGCAGCCAUGCCGCGUGUAUGAAGAAGGCCUUCGGGUUGUAAAGUACUUUCAGCGGGGAGGCGUUACCCGCAGAAGAAGCACCGGCUAACUCCGUGCCAGCAGCCGCGGUAAUAC